RNAcentral lists this long non-coding RNA (229 nucleotides) under Lathyrus oleraceus (garden pea). RNAcentral describes it as "Pisum sativum (pea) long non-coding RNA (PSAT_LNC023986)". Lineage: Eukaryota; Viridiplantae; Streptophyta; Magnoliopsida; Fabales; Fabaceae. The record is from RNAcentral.
UGUGAGUUUAUCUGUGAAAUUAUGCAGGAAUGGUGUUCAUGCUGGCUUGGCUUUUGAAGUUUGAUGUUGCGUUUUACGUUUGCUAUAGCUUGGUGUGCGUUUCAAGUGUUGUGAGUUUUGUUUCUCUAUUGCCGUUUGGAAGCAGCCGCAACUGAUGUAGCUUUUGUGCUCUUUGACGGCUUGGAGGAUGGCUUGCAUCAGCGUGUUUUGAAGCUUUGGAUUUGGAUGU